Molecule: ribosomal RNA, 457 nt
Filed under: Streptococcus mutans
Lineage: Bacteria; Bacillati; Bacillota; Bacilli; Lactobacillales; Streptococcaceae
Description: bacterial SSU rRNA
Rfam family: Bacterial small subunit ribosomal RNA
Source: RNAcentral
GACGAACGCUGGCGGCGUGCCUAAUACAUGCAAGUGGGACGUAAGGGAACACACUGUGCUUGCACACCGUGUUUUCUUGAGUCGCGAACGGGUGAGUAACGCGUAGGUAACCUGCCUAUUAGCGGGGGAUAACUAUUGGAAACGAUAGCUAAUACCGCAUAAUAUUAAUUAUUGCAUGAUAAUUGAUUGAAAGAUGCAAGCGCAUCACUAGUAGAUGGACCUGCGUUGUAUUAGCUAGUUGGUAAGGUAAGAGCUUACCAAGGCGACGAUACAUAGCCGACCUGAGAGGGUGAUCGGCCACACUGGGACUGAGACACGGCCCAGACUCCUACGGGAGGCAGCAGUAGGGAAUCUUCGGCAAUGGACGAAAGUCUGACCGAGCAACGCCGCGUGAGUGAAGAAGGUUUUCGGAUCGUAAAGCUCUGUUGUAAGUCAAGAACGUGUGUGAGAGUGGAAA